AGAUGUAUCCAGACACCAGGGUUGGGGCUAUUGUUAUCUGCAUUUUACCCAUGAGAAAACGGAAGCAAACAGAGGCUAAGCGAUUCCUCCAGAGUCACACAGUUGGCAUAUGUCUGAGAUUCGACUCCAGUUUUAUCCACUGUUAACCUGCUAAGCUAAGGAGAUGGAAAUGUCUUCCUAGGUUGCCAUUUGGAAAUAUAAGACUAGAACUUGGAAGAGAGGCUGUGAAAAACUGAAGAUGGUUAUUCCUUAUCUCAAAUCUGGCUUCGGACAUCUCUAAAAUGAGGAAAUUAUAUGGGCUCUGAGGUCCCUUUCAAUUCUAAAUCUGCAAUCUGGUGAUCUACCACUACAUUGUACUCUCUGUAAAAAUAGAGCACUUAUGGUUUUGUCUUUCCAAAUCCCCUUUAGUAACUUGCACAAAACAGUUGCUUAGAUGUAUUUAUUGAAUGACUAAACUAUAUAUAUAUAUAUUUUUUUUUUCUUCUGUCCCACAAAACAGAUGUAGAUUGAUCCUUAUUCAGGACAGUUUUCCCAGAUCUUAGAUGGAUUAAUUCACAUGCCCUUUAUGACUUUGAAUUGUGGAAAAGAAAUAUUUAGCAAAACUAAAAGAAUCUCUUCUGUUUAGUAGAAAGUUGUAUUGCUAAUGUGUGGAUAAAAAAAAUGACUUUUUCAGUCCACCCAUUUCCCUUAAGAACUAUGUCAACAGCCAUCACAAUUUUUGAAGGAAAAACUUAACAUGUAGUAGUUUAUCUUCUAAAUAAAAUAUUAUUCACUGUAUUUGGAGUCUAGAUU
Molecule: long non-coding RNA, 792 nt
Filed under: Monodelphis domestica (gray short-tailed opossum)
Lineage: Eukaryota; Metazoa; Chordata; Mammalia; Didelphimorphia; Didelphidae
Description: lncRNA (ENSMODG00000039926.1)
Source: RNAcentral